Folsomia candida is the source of this 589-nucleotide long non-coding RNA. RefSeq lists it as uncharacterized. The record is from RefSeq and is a predicted model, not a curated record. The transcript is spliced from 3 exons. Lineage: Eukaryota; Metazoa; Arthropoda; Collembola; Entomobryomorpha; Isotomidae.
AUUACAUUUCUCUGAACCUACCACCAAAUUAAUUCAUGGUUCUCUACUUACUCGCAGAUUUCGUGGAAGCAGAAAUUCAUUGUCAUAUUUUGGUACUACAUAGAAUAUGUGUCAAGACGGUCUUAAUUUGCACAUUAAGAAAUAUCCACUCUGCAGGUGGAUCUAAAUAUAGGUGCAUACGUCCAGGACACUGUGAAGCUCAGAAACCUAUCAUCGGAACCACAGAGAAGGUUUGAGAAGCAAUAAAGUUAACUAUUUUCAUCAACCUAGCGCAAGUUUUGGGGGCAAACAAUAAGCUAACAAAGUUCUUGUGGGCAGGAAUCCGCGAGGGUACCUCGAUAUUAUGGAUGGAGGGAGACACGCAUCAAUAAUUGACAUGUUUUUCAUUCUUCUAUUUACAUAAUAUAUUUACUUUUUAUUUUGAACUAUUUAGUAAGUAAGAGUUUAUUUUAUUUCGUAAGGUUAGGGUCUUGAUUGUACGACCCUUGGGUGGUCAGUAUUUUCACGAUUUUUUGUAUUUUAGAUAUCAUUAAGGAUAGACAUAGUCUCCAUUAUUAUGGAGACUAUGUAUGUAAUAAAAUAAUUGAUU